UGAGACAGGAACAGACACAUGAGGUCUGAGAUGAUAGAGGUGAGACAGGAACAGACACAUGAGGUCUGAGAUGAUAGAGGUGAGACAGGAACAGACACAUGAGGUCUGAGAUGAUAGAGGUGAGACAGGAACAGACACAUGAGGUCUGAGAUGAUAGAGGUGAGACAGGAACAGACACAUGAGGUCUGAGAUGGUAGAGGUGAGACAGGAACAGACACAUGAGGUCUGAGAUGGUAGAGGUGAGACAGGAACAGACACAUGAGGAGGUCUGAGAUGGUAGAGGUGAGACAGGAACAGACACAUGAGGAGGUCUGAGAUGAUAGAGGUGAGACAGGAACAGACACAUGAGGAGGUCUGAGAUGGUAGAGGUGAGACAGGAACAGACACAUGAGGAGGUCUGAGAUGGUAGAGGUGAGACAGGAACAGACACAUGAGGAGGUCUGAGAUGAUAGAGGUGAGACAGGAACAGACACAUGAGGUCUGAGAUGGUAGAGGUGAGACAGGAACAGACACAUGAGGAGGUCUGAGAUGGUAGAGGUGAGACAGGAACAGACACAUGAGGAGGUCUGAGAUGGUAGAGGUGAGACAGGAACAGACACAUGAGGUCUGAGAUGGUAGAGGUGAGACAGGAACAGACACAUGAGGUCUGAGAUGAUAGAGGUGAGACAGGAACAGACAUAUGAGGUCUGAGAUGGUAGAGGUGAGACAGGAACAGACACAUGAGGAGGUCUGAGAUGAUAGAGGUG
Oncorhynchus keta (chum salmon) is the source of this 746-nucleotide long non-coding RNA. RefSeq lists it as uncharacterized. The transcript is spliced from 4 exons. NCBI's taxonomy places the organism in Eukaryota, Metazoa, Chordata, Actinopteri, Salmoniformes, Salmonidae. The record is from RefSeq and is a predicted model, not a curated record.